AACGAACGCUGGCGGCAGGCCUAACACAUGCAAGUCGAGCGCGCCCUUCGGGGUGAGCGGCGGACGGGUUAGUAACGCGUGGGAAUAUGCCCAGAUCUGCGGAAUAGCCUCUGGAAACGGAGAGUAAUACCGCAUACGCCCUUCGGGGGAAAGAUUUAUCGGAUUUGGAUUAGCCCGCGUUGGAUUAGGUAGUUGGUGGGGUAAUGGCCUACCAAGCCGACGAUCCAUAGCUGGUUUGAGAGGAUGAUCAGCAACACUGGGACUGAGACACGGCCCAGACUCCUACGGGAGGCAGCAGUGGGGAAUCUUAGACAAUGGGGGAAACCCUGAUCUAGCCAUGCCGCGUGAGUGACGAAGGCCCAGGGUCGUAAAGCUCUUUCAGCUGUGAAGAUAAUGACGGUAGCAGCAGAAGAAACCCCGGCUAACUCCGUG
RNAcentral lists this ribosomal RNA (432 nucleotides) under uncultured bacterium. Its description in RNAcentral is "bacterial SSU rRNA". It matches the Rfam family "Bacterial small subunit ribosomal RNA", at positions 29 to 507 of the family's 1533-position model. The record is from RNAcentral.